UUGAACGCUGGCGGUAUGCUUUACACAUGCAAGUCGAACGGCAGCACGGGGCAACCUGGUGGCGAGUGGCGAACGGGUGAGUAACAUAUCGGAACAUAUCCGGAAGUGGGGGAUAACGUAGCGAAAGUUACGCUAAUACCGCAUAUGCCCUGAGGGGGAAAGGGGGGGAUCGCAAGACCUCUCGCUUUCGGAGUGGCCGAUAUCAGAUUAGCUAGUUGGUGAGGUAAAGGCUCACCAAGGCGACGAUCUGUAGCUGGUCUGAGAGGACGACCAGCCACACUGGAACUGAGACACGGUCCAGACUCCUACGGGAGGCAGCAGUGGGGAAUUUUGGACAAUGGGCGCAAGCCUGAUCCAGCCAUACCGCGUGAGUGAAGAAGGCCUUCGGGUUGUAAAGCUCUUUCAGCCGGAAAGAAAUCGUACAGAUUAACACUCUGUAUGGAUGACGGUACCGGAAGAAGAAGCACCGGCUAACUACGU
This 480-nucleotide ribosomal RNA is filed under the name uncultured bacterium. RNAcentral describes it as "bacterial SSU rRNA". It matches the Rfam family "Bacterial small subunit ribosomal RNA", at positions 30 to 506 of the family's 1533-position model. The record is from RNAcentral.